RNAcentral lists this ribosomal RNA (253 nucleotides) under uncultured bacterium. RNAcentral describes it as "partial 16S ribosomal RNA". It matches the Rfam family "Bacterial small subunit ribosomal RNA", at positions 524 to 776 of the family's 1533-position model. The record is from RNAcentral.
GACAGAGGGUGCAAACGUUGCUCGGAAUCACUGAGCGUAAAGGGCGUGUAGGCGGGAAGGAAAGUCAGAUGUGAAAUCCCUGGGCUCAACCCAGGAACUGCAUUUGAAACUCCCUUUCUUGAGUGUCGGAGAGGAAAGUGGAAUUCCUGGUGUAGAGGUGAAAUUCGUAGAUAUCAGGAGGAACACCGGUGGCGAAGGCGGCUUUCUGGACGACAACUGACGCUGAGACGCGAAAGCGUGGGGAGCAAACAGG